AUUGAACGCUGGCGGCAGGCCUAACACAUGCAAGUCGAGCGGAGCGGCGGACGGGUGAGUAAUGCCUAGGAAUCUGCCUGGGAGUGGGGGAUAACGUCCGGAAACGGGCGCUAAUACAGCAUACUAUCAGCUGAGCCUAGGUAGGAUUCGCUAGUUGGUGGGGUAAAGGCCUACCAAGGCGACGCUCCGUAACUGGUCUGAGAGGAUGAACAGUCACCCUGGAACGGAGACACGGUCCAGACUCCUACGGGAGGCAGCAGUGGGGAAUAUUUGACAAUGGGCGAAAGCCUGAUCCAGCCAUGCCGCGUGUGUGAAGAAGGUCUUCGGGUUGUAAAGUACUUUUGUGAGGGAAGCGGUACCUAAAGAAUAAGCACCGGCUAACUACGUGCCAGCAGCCGCGGUAAUGC
Molecule: ribosomal RNA, 407 nt
Filed under: uncultured bacterium
Lineage: Bacteria
Description: partial 16S ribosomal RNA
Rfam family: Bacterial small subunit ribosomal RNA
Source: RNAcentral